GAUGAACGCUGGCGGCGUGCCUAAUACAUGCAAGUCGAGCGAACGGACGAGAAGCUUGCUUCUCUGAUGUUAGCGGAGGACGGGUGAGUAACACGUGGAUAACCUACCUAUAAGACUGGGAUAAUUUCGGGAAACCGUAGCUAAUCCCGGAUAAUAUUUUGAACCGCAUGGUUCAAAAGUGAAAGACGGUCUUGCUGUCACUUCUAGAUGGAUCCGCGCUGCAUUAGCUAGUUGGUAAGGUAACGGCUUACCACGGCGACGAUGCAUAGCCGACCUGAGAGGGUGAUCGGCCACACUGGAACUGAGACGCGGUCCAGGGUCCUACGGGAGGCAGCAGUAGGGAAUCGUCCGCAAUGGGCGAAAGCCUGACGGAGCAACGCCGCGUGAGUGAUGAAGGUCUUCGGAUCGUAAAACUCUGUUAUUAGGGAAGAACAUAUGUGUAAGGAACUGUGCACAGCUUGACGGUACCUAAUCAGAAAGCCACGGCUAACUACGUG
Molecule: ribosomal RNA, 497 nt
Filed under: uncultured bacterium
Lineage: Bacteria
Description: partial 16S ribosomal RNA
Rfam family: Bacterial small subunit ribosomal RNA
Source: RNAcentral